UACGGGGGGUGCAAGCGUUACUCGGAAUCACUGGGCGUAAAGAGCAUGUAGGCGGAUUAAUAAGUUUGAAGUGAAAUCCUAUAGCUUAACUAUAGAACUGCUUUGAAAACUGUUAAUCUAGAAUGUGGGAGAGGUAGAUGGAAUUUCUGGUGUAGGGGUAAAAUCCGUAGAGAUCAGAAGGAAUACCGAUUGCGAAGGCGAUCUACUGGAACAUUAUUGACGCUGAGAUGCGAAAGCGUGGGGAGCAAACAGGAUUAGAUACCCUGGUAGUCCACGCCCUAAACGAUGUACACUAGUUGUUGUGAGACUUGAUCUUGCAGUAAUGCAGUUAACACAUUAAGUGUACCGCCUGGGGAGUACGGUCGCAAGAUUAAAACUCAAAGGAAUAGACGGGGACCCGCACAAGCGGUGGAGCAUGUGGUUUAAUUCGACGAUACACGAAGAACCUUACCUGGACUUGACAUAGUAAGAACUUUCUAGAGAUAGAUUGGUGUCUGCUUGCAGAAACUUAUAUACAGGUGCUGCACGGCUGUCGUCAGCUCGUGUCGUGAGAUGUUGGGUUAAGUCCCGCAACGAGCGCAACCCUCGUGUUUAGUUGCUAACAGUUCGGCUGAGAACUCUAAACAGACUGCCUACGCAAGUAGGAGGAAGGUGAGGACGACGUCAAGUCAUCAUGGCCCUUACGUCCAGGGCUACACACGUGCUACAAUGGGAUAUACAAAGAGCCGCAAUACGGUGACGUGGAGCAAAUCUUAUAAAAUAUCUCCCAGUUCGGAUUGUAGUCUGCAACUCGACUACAUGAAGUUGGAAUCGCUAGUAAUACGUAGAUCAGCUAUGCUACGGUGAAUACGUUCCCGGGUCU
Molecule: ribosomal RNA, 862 nt
Filed under: uncultured bacterium
Lineage: Bacteria
Description: SSU rRNA
Rfam family: Bacterial small subunit ribosomal RNA
Source: RNAcentral